AGAUUGAACGCUGGCGGCAGGCCUAACACAUGCAAGUCGAACGGUAACAGGAAGCAGCUUGCUGCUUCGCUGACGAGUGGCGGACGGGUGAGUAAUGUCUGGGAAACUGCCUGAUGGAGGGGGAUAACUACUGGAAACGGUGGCUAAUACCGCAUAACGUCGCAAGACCAAAGAGGGGGACCUUCGGGCCUCUUGCCAUCAGAUGUGCCCAGAUGGGAUUAGCUAGUUGGUGAGGUAACGGCUCACCAAGGCGACGAUCCCUAGCUGGUCUGAGAGGAUGACCAGCCACACUGGAACUGAGACACGGUCCAGACUCCUACGGGAGGCAGCAGUGGGGAAUAUUGCACAAUGGGCGCAAGCCUGAUGCAGCCAUGCCGCGUGUAUGAAGAAGGCCUUCGGGUUGUAAAGUACUUUCAGCGGGGAGGAAGGUGUUGUGGUUAAUAACCGCAGCAAUUGACGUUACCCGCAGAAGAAGCACCGGCUAACUCCGUGCCAGCAGCCGCGGUAAUACGGAGGGUGCAAGCGUUAAUCG
Molecule: ribosomal RNA, 532 nt
Filed under: Salmonella enterica subsp. enterica serovar Paratyphi B str. SPB7
Lineage: Bacteria; Pseudomonadati; Pseudomonadota; Gammaproteobacteria; Enterobacterales; Enterobacteriaceae
Description: SSU rRNA
Rfam family: Bacterial small subunit ribosomal RNA
Source: RNAcentral